CUGUGCUGGAACAUGUCUUGACUUGUACCGGCUUGCCUGGAGAGAGUGUGCGAGGCUUGUGGUCACCCGCCUGGACAGCUGGGUGCCUCUCACUGGCCCCCUCCCUCAGACAGCAGGCACAACACUGAGGGACACAGAGAGCGACCUAGUGAGGUGGACAGAAGAGAACUGGACCAGGUACCGACCCAGAGAGCCCAGAGGCUCAUCUCUGCCGGGCUGGUGGAAGUUCUUCCUGUACUCCAAGUCUCCCCCCCUCCCCCCAUCCUAAAUCUCUUGCAAGUAAUGCUUUGAUCAUAGAGGGACCAUGGAGCCACUGACCACAAUCAGGUCUGUCUGACUCUCCUGGGAGAUUGCUGUGGGCUUGGUGGUGGACUGGAGUCCUCAGGACGGUUUAAGUGAACUGAGAACAAGCGUCCUCUGAUCCCACACACAGUCAAAAAGGCAAGUGUUAUCACAUACACCAUAUGCCACCCAGUAAAAUGGAGGAAAGUCAACAUGUUUGUCCUCAAUGUCUACAUAACAUGAGAUAUGACGGACACUUAUCAGGGAACAGAGCUGAACAACCCUUCAAUAAGCAUGUGGGUAAAAAGCAUGGAGAGUUUGGGAUUACUCUCGGUUGUUUCCCCAUUUGCGCUAUUCUGUCUCCUGCCCACCACAAGCACGUGGGCCCAACUCAGCGGGGAGGCCCAAGCAGAGGACAGACGUGAGGAUGAGGAUGAGGAUGAGGACAGACAGGAAGGACGGCGCCCACCGGCUGCUGUGAGUGUUUCUCUGGCAGUGUCUUAGCUGGUUGUUGUGAGGAGUGAGAACGAAGCAAUCAGCAAGUAUACUGCCGCAGAAACUCUUUACAUUGAGAGCCCCUCUCAUCCCACCCACCCCCCUCGUCCCCCCCUGAACACCACUCCAUCUACGGCUCCUCCACUGCUGCCUGGGCAGCAUGUCUCUCAGCUCCCCCGUCCACCCCCAUCACUCUGCCACAGCCAGGGAGGAAGAAGAGUGUGGUAUGGUAUGUAUCUCCUGCUUUCGACAGUAACUCCAUUUGAAACAAACAAAAAGUGACGUUGUUAAUGAAUUAUUACUGUAAACACAGGCUGAUUGCAGUAACGAUAAAAUAAAGCAAGCACCACCAUCUGUUUUCUUAGUAAAUGUAGCAUGGUUGUUGUUUUUUUUCUAAAUGUGUCGAUCAGUAAACAUGUUGUGGAAGAUGAUAAGAUCUUCUCUCAGUUUCCCAUACAACUGUCUGCUUUUGUUGUUUUGCUAAACGACAGUUACCAUUGGCAGCACCGUCUGACCUUUAAGGCCCUCAGUAGGAGAAGACACACUUGCGGUGUAGCGAGACACAAACAUCAUUAGUGCAAUUACGUAUGUCCUGUGGCUCUGUAUGAUCACAUGCUGAUUGGUGGCACAUUUUUGUAUUUCAAAUAAAAAAGCAAACGUUUCA
Sardina pilchardus (European sardine) is the source of this 1441-nucleotide long non-coding RNA. RefSeq lists it as uncharacterized. The record is from RefSeq and is a predicted model, not a curated record. The transcript is spliced from 4 exons. NCBI's taxonomy places the organism in Eukaryota, Metazoa, Chordata, Actinopteri, Clupeiformes, Clupeidae.